GAUGAACGCUGGCGGCGUGCCUAAUACAUGCAAGUCGAGCGAACGGACGAGAAGCUUGCUUCUCUGAUGUUAGCGGCGGACGGGUGAGUAACACGUGGAUAACCUACCUAUAAGACUGGUAUAACUUCGGGAAACCGGAGCUAAUACCGGAUGAUAUUUUGAACCGCAUGGUUCAAAAGUGAAAGACGGUCUUGCUGUCACUUAUAGAUGGAUCCGCGCUGCAUUAGCUAGUUGGUAAGGUAACGGCUUAUCAAGGCAACGAUGCAUAGCCGACCUGAGAGGGUGAUCGGCCACACUGGAACUGAGACACGGUCCAGACUCCUACGGGAGGCAGCAGUAGGGAAUCUUCCGCAAUGGGCGAAAGCCUGACGGAGCAACGCCGCGUGAGUGAUGAAGGUCUUCGGAUCGUAAAACUCUGUUAUUAGGGAAGAACAUAUGUGUAAGUAACUGUGCACAUCUUGACGGUACCUAAUCAGAAAGCCACGGCUAACUACGUG
RNAcentral lists this ribosomal RNA (497 nucleotides) under uncultured bacterium. RNAcentral describes it as "partial 16S ribosomal RNA". It matches the Rfam family "Bacterial small subunit ribosomal RNA", at positions 28 to 507 of the family's 1533-position model. The record is from RNAcentral.